This 251-nucleotide long non-coding RNA is filed under the name Gossypium barbadense (sea-island cotton). Its description in RNAcentral is "long non-coding RNA (GBAR_LNC002594)". The record is from RNAcentral. Lineage: Eukaryota; Viridiplantae; Streptophyta; Magnoliopsida; Malvales; Malvaceae.
AAGCAUGUAAUAAUUUUUGUCAAGCAUGAAGUUUUUUAUUAAUAUGAGAUAACUUAUUAUUUUUUAAGGGGAAUUGAUUAGGUUACUUAGUUAAAUUGCAUAAUAGAUUAGAAUUACCUAAGUAAGAAUGUUUGAUGAUGCCAUAUGAGAUGUACGUCUUUUAGAUAAUCCUAGAGACAUGAAUGCUUGAUUUGAUUAUUAAUCAUUCGGUAUAAUUUGAAGCAUGAAAGAAAUUGUGUAUAGUGGGAUGC